CACCCGCAGCUCGAGUGGUGGUCACUUUUAUUGAGCCUAAAGCGUUUGUAGCCGGAUCCGUAAAUCUCCAGGCAAAUUCCUUCGCUUAACGAAGGAUCUUCUGGAGAGACUGCGGAUCUAGGGACCGGGUGAGGUUGAAUGUACUUCUGGGGUAGGGGUAAAAUCCUGUAAUCCUGGAAGGACGACCGGUGGCGAAGGCGUUCAACUAGAACGGAUCCGACGGUGAGGAACGAGGGCUAGGGGAGCAAACCGGAUUAGAUACCCGGGUAGUCCUAGCUGUAAACACUGCCCAAUUGAUGUUGCAUCUCCGUGUAGGGGGUGCAGUGUCGUAGCGAAGGUGUUAAGUGGGCCGCUUGGGGAGUAUGGUCGCAAGGCUGAAACUUAAAGGAAUUGGCGGGGGAGCACCACAACGGGAGGAGCGUGCGGUUUAAUUGGAUUCAACGCCGGAAAGCUCACCAGGAGCGACCUUUGAAUGAGAGUCAACUUGACGAGCUUACUCGAUAGAAGGAGAGGUGGUGCAUGGCCGUCGUCAGCUCGUACCGUAGGGCGUUCACUUAAGUGUGAUAACGAGCGAGACCCCCAUCUUUAAUUGCCAUCAUGUUCGAGAGGACGUGGGCACUUUAAAGGGACCGCCAGCGCAGAGCUGGAGGAAGGAGGGGUCGACGGCAGGUCAGUACGCCCCGAAUCUCCUGGGCAACACGCGCGCUACAAAGGACAGGACAAUGGGCUGCGACCUCGAAAGGGGAAGCCAAUCUCGAAACCUGUUCGUAGUUAGGAUUGAGGGCUGUAACUCGCCCUCAUGAAUCUGGAUUCCGUAGUAAUCGCGGGUCAACAUCCCGCGGUGAAUAUGUCCCUGCUCCU
Molecule: ribosomal RNA, 861 nt
Filed under: uncultured archaeon
Lineage: Archaea
Description: bacterial SSU rRNA
Rfam family: Archaeal small subunit ribosomal RNA
Source: RNAcentral